This 253-nucleotide ribosomal RNA is filed under the name uncultured prokaryote. RNAcentral describes it as "partial 16S ribosomal RNA". It matches the Rfam family "Bacterial small subunit ribosomal RNA", at positions 525 to 777 of the family's 1533-position model. The record is from RNAcentral.
ACGUAGGGGGCGAGCGUUGUCCGGAUUUAUUGGGCGUAAAGAGCGUGUAGGCGGCUUGGUAGGUCUGCUGUGAAAACUCGGGGCUCAACCCCGAGACGUCGGUGGAAACCACCUGGCUAGAGUCCGGAAGAGGAGAGUGGAAUUCCUGGUGUAGCGGAGAAAUGCGCAGAUAUCAGGAAGAAUAUCCGUGGCGAAGGCGGCUCUCUGGUACGGAACUGACGCUGAGACGCGAAAGCGUGGGGAGCGAACAGGA